Molecule: transfer RNA, 89 nt
Filed under: Actinoplanes derwentensis
Lineage: Bacteria; Bacillati; Actinomycetota; Actinomycetes; Micromonosporales; Micromonosporaceae
Description: tRNA-Arg
Source: RNAcentral
CCGGCCCGCAGCGCGCGCGCCGAGGCGUCCGGGUCCUCCGGGAGCAGGACCAGGUGGGUCUUGUCGACGUUCGAGGCGUCGAUGCCGGC